Molecule: ribosomal RNA, 1964 nt
Filed under: bioreactor metagenome
Description: bacterial LSU rRNA
Rfam family: Bacterial large subunit ribosomal RNA
Source: RNAcentral
UAAAGUACAUAAGGGCACAUGGGGGAUGCCUAGGCUCUGGAAGGCGACGAAGGACGUGAUAAGCUGCGAUAAGCCGCGGGGAUUGGCAAAUACGAAUCGAUCCGCGGAUUUCCGAAUGGGGCAACCUGAUACGAGAAGAUUGUAUCAUUCCAUCCAGUAUGGAAGGCAAACGCGGGGAACUGAAACAUCUAAGUACCCGCAGGAGAAGAAAACAAAAGUGAUUCCCGGAGUAGUGGCGAGCGAAACGGGAAUAGCCCAAACCGGUGUUGUUUCGGCAAUACCGGGGUUGUAGGACCGGGAAGUGGCAAGAGACCAAGGAAGCGGAAGCGCCUGGAAAGGCGCAUCGUAGAGGGUGAUAAUCCCGUACGCGACUCCCUGGCGAAGCCUACCGGUAUCCUGAGUAGCGCGGGACACGAGAAAUCCUGUGUGAAUCCGGCGGGACCAUCCGCCAAGGCUAAAUACUCACCAGAGACCGAUAGUGAACCAGUACCGUGAGGGAAAGGUGAAAAGAACCUCGAACAGAGGAGUGAAAUAGACCCUGAAACCAUGUGCUUGCAAGCGGUCGGAGCCCCGUUUACGGGGUGACGGCGUGCCUUUUGCAUAAUGAACCUACGAGUUACUCUUGUUGGCAAGGUUAAGCGCAAUGAUGCGCGUCAGCCGCAGCGAAAGCGAGUCCGAACAGGGCGCAUAGUCAGCAGGAGUAGACGCGAAACCAAGUGAUCUACCCUUGAGCAGGCUGAAGUUUUGGUAACACAACAUGGAGGGCCGAACCGGUAAACGUUGAAAAGUUUUCGGAUGACUUGAGGGUAGGGGUGAAAGGCUAAUCAAACUUGGAGAUAGCUCGUACUCCCCGAAAUGCAUUUAGGUGCAGCCUCGGAUCAUGAGCUUACAUGAGGUAGAGCUACUGAUUGGAUGCGAGGGCUUCGCCGCCUAUCAAGUCCAGACAAACUCCGAAUGCGUGUAAGUGAUCUCCGGGAGUGAGGGCGCGGGUGCUAAGGUCCGUGUCCGAGAGAGGAACAACUCAGACCAUCAGCUAAGGUCCCCAAAUAUGUGCUAAGUUGCAUUAAACGAAGUUCUGCCGCAGCGACAGCUAGGAUGUUGGCUUGGAAGCAGCCAUUCAUUUAAAGAGUGCGUAACAGCUCACUAGUCGAGUGGCGGAGCGUGGAUAAUAAUCGGGCAUAAGCAUAUUACCGAAGCCAUGGAAUUCUAAUGAAUUGGUAGGGGAGCAUUCCGGUCCUGCGUUGAAGGCGUACUGCGAGGUACUCUGGAGCGUCCGGAAAAGCAAAUGUAGGUAUAAGUAACGAUAAUGCGGAUGAGAAAUCCGCACGCCGAAAGACUAAGGUUUCCUGAUCAACGCUAAUCGGAUCAGGGUUAGUCGGGGCCUAAGGAUAAGCCUAGAGGCGAUUCCGAUGGAAGAAACGGUUAAUAUUCCGUUACUGCUUUGAUAAGUUAUGUGGGGACGCAGAAGUGACACCACUGCCAUCUGACGGAAUAGAUGGUUGAAGGGGGUAGGCUGUGACCGGUGCAGGCAAAUCCGCACCGGGAGCUGAACCUGAAAGUAUGGCAAGUCUUCGGAUGAGCCAAUAAUGUGGGUAAGCAGACUGCCGAGAAAAUCCGCUAAACGCCAAUUAUCAACGCACCCGUACCGUAAACCGACACAGGUAGUUGGGUUGAAAAUACUAAGGCGCUCGAGUGAUUCACGGUUAAGGAACUAGGCAAAAUAGUCCUGUAACUUCGGGAGAAAGGACGCCACUGGCGACAGUGGCCGCAGAGAAUAGAUUCUGGCGACUGUUUAACAAAAACACAUGGCUAUGCGAAUUCGAAAGAAGCUGUAUAUAGCCUGACACCUGCCCGGUGCUGGAAGGUUAAGAGGAGAUGUCAUCGCAAGAGAAGCAUUGAAUUGAAGCCCCAGUAAACGGCGGCCGUAACUAUAACGGUCCUAAGGUAGCGAAAUUCCUUGUCGG